ACGUAGUGUGUUUUUAUGGUUAACUUCUCUGAUAAUUACUGUUUGUUCUAAACAGCCAGCCUUAUAAUCUUCAUCGGUUGUCUUGGUUGACCGGCAAGUUAACUUUAAAAAAAUUAGAGUACUCAAAGCAGACGUGACGCCUGAAUAAUAGUGCAUGGAGUAGGAUUUCGAUUCUAUUUUGUUGGUUUUCGUAAUACGAGGUCAUGAUUAACAGAGACAGACGGGGGCCAUUCGUAUUGCGACGCUAGAGGUGAAAUUCUUGGACCGUCGCAAGAUGAACUACUGCGAAAGCAUUUGCCAAAAAUGUUUCCGUUAAUCAAGU
This 322-nucleotide non-coding RNA is filed under the name Stegodyphus mimosarum. RNAcentral describes it as "Eukaryotic small subunit ribosomal RNA". It matches the Rfam family "Eukaryotic small subunit ribosomal RNA", at positions 628 to 982 of the family's 1831-position model. The record is from Rfam by way of RNAcentral. Lineage: Eukaryota; Metazoa; Arthropoda; Arachnida; Araneae; Eresidae.